Long non-coding RNA from Eucalyptus grandis, 1808 nucleotides. RefSeq lists it as uncharacterized. Lineage: Eukaryota; Viridiplantae; Streptophyta; Magnoliopsida; Myrtales; Myrtaceae. The transcript has 5 exons. The record is from RefSeq and is a predicted model, not a curated record.
CUUUGCCUUACGAGAGAGAGAGAGACAGACAGACAGAGAGAAGAGAAUGGUGGGUGGAGGAUUUGUAGAAGGCGGGCACCUGAGAAGGGCGCAUCUUAACGAGUACAGGAUCACUAGGUAUUUCGUAUUUGCCUGCAUUAUUGCGGCCCUUGGUGGAUCGCUUUUUGGGUACAAUCUGGGCGUUUCGGGUGAAGUGACCUCUAGGGACGAUUUCCUGAAGGAGUUCUUCCCAAAAGUGAACCGGAGAAAGCAAGAGCAUCUGAACGAGACCAAUUACUGCAAGUACGACAACCAGAUCCUGACGCUCUUCACUUCUUCUCUCUACUUUGCGGGCCUAGUCACUUGAAUGAGGCCAACACCAGUGCUGUGUUGUACAGCCUCACUAUCCGCCAGAGAGAAAUGGUGGAGAGCUAUCGGCGGUGGACAGUGAGGUCAAGACCGAAGUGCCCAGACUAUCGGGUAGCCUGGAUGAUUCCCGGCUGAAACUAAGGCAGGAGCCGGCAAAGUUGGGGGAUGAUCCGGGUUACGAGGACAUGCCCAUGGAGGAAUUUGCAGUGGCAUAUCUUAGAGGGGUUUUGGAUGGCAAGAGGGGAAAGGGGUGGGAAAGAACGCCAAGGAGGAUGUUCCGGUUAGAUGCAAGGCUUUUAUGCUUCCUGUACUGCAAAUUCUGCCCCUUCUUUUUAUCUGGUCUUUUUCGUUUUGUUAACAAAUGAUAGUUCGAAUCCUUAACUUUUGCCCAAAAACUACUACUUUUUCCCACCAUUUGCUUUUUAUAUCAUGUAAAGGCUUCACUUAAGUGCUUUUCCUGAGGGAUAUCCAUGAUAAGCUGAUUUACAGACACAGGAAAGUUAAAUGUAUUCAUUUUAUCAGGAUAUCAUGUAUGAUUCGUGUUACCAUGAACUCUCUGUUUUCCUGUCUUUAAAUGAAAAGAAUGCUUCAUGCUAAUGAAUGAAGUUGUCAAAAUAAAUAUCUCUGUGUUUCUAUGACUUUUCUUUUCUUAAGAAACAUGCAUAUGUGGAUUUCUAGUUUAAUAUUAAAUGGACUUUAACGGACCACCAGAAUGACUGGACAAUGUUCUUGAUAGUCUGUUUAUUACUUUUAUUGCUUGAAUGAACAAUACAGCUUGCAUAUAUUGUCAGGAACUGUGUUUAUGCCACCAAAGUGGUCCUUAGGCUAUCAUCAAUGGUGCUGGAGCUAUGACUCUGAUAACAAAGUUUGAGAGGUUGGCCCUUCCAAUGCAUCUUGCUUGAUUCUACGGUCUUUCCUCCACAACCCGCAUUUCCUUCUACCUGAUUGAAUAACAAGGACUACUUCUCUGAUCCAAAAUCUUUGGUAGAUGGUCUCCACCAACACGGGUUCAAAGCCAUCUGGAUACUUGAUCCUAGUUUUAAACGUGAAGAGGGGCCUUAUGUCUAUGACAGUGGUUGCAAAAGUGAUGUCUGCAUCAAAGCAGCAGAUGGAACUCUAUUUGUUGGGGAGGUGUGGCCCGAUCCUUGUGUAUUCCCUAAAUUUACACGGUCAAGAGUCCAUCGCUGGUGGGUUAAGUUAGUUCAGGAUUUCAUUUCUAAUGGAGUCGAUGAUCUAUGAAACAAUAUGAAUGAACCAUCUUUUCAUUAAGACCAUGCCCGAGAGCAACAUUCAUAAGGGAGAUGAUGAACUUGGAGGUCUCCAGAAUCACUCACACUAUCGUAAUGCAAGUUUUCCAGCCUUUUGCUAUUUGUAGCUUGUGUUUCAUUUUUUAGAGUUAUAUUGAAAUAGAUAGUAAGUAAUUUAUAAUGUAUCCACCACGAUUUUACUAGAAAUUUUUU